GUUUUACAAGUGCAAGAUGAAGGCCCUCACUACCUGGUCUCUUGGGUUGCUUCAGCUGGACUGCAAUGUCCUGAUGGAUGGGCCAGCAUGACUCAGUACAAUUCUUGUGCCGAAAUUCAUGGAGCUGGUGGAGUUUGAACUUUUGAUAGUUAUAGCUUCCCUUUAACCUGCUGCUGCAACUGCCACCUAACUGCUUCUACAAAG
Molecule: non-coding RNA, 204 nt
Organism: Pelobates cultripes (western spadefoot toad)
Lineage: Eukaryota; Metazoa; Chordata; Amphibia; Anura; Pelobatidae
Source: the annotation of a GenBank genome assembly